ACUAUACUGGGGUGUUAGGACCCACACAGACCACAGGGUGAGCGCCCUCUGUUGGCCUCACUAACGCCUCUUCCAGCAGCUACCUAGUUUUCCCAGGAGGUCUCCCAUCCAGGAGGGACCAAGAGGAGGCUCUUCAGUGCGAAAAGGAAGACACCAGCCAGGGUAAAACUCAUGCCAGUGGUGCAGCUCUCCCGCUGAAAUCACCCCAAAAAUAUCAGCUGUACCAAAAGAUGAUGUACAGGAGACACAGAGGUGAACGUAGAUGGGAGUUUAUUUACAAACAGCAGGGAAACAGUGAUGCAGGAAUGGAGAUUGUGGAUGGAUGGACGAACGUCAACGGAGUGCACACAUGUAGGAGGUAGGUAGACACACACAGACGAAGAAGCACGGAGACUGAGGAAACAUGCUGGAGUGAAACAGGGAAGUAGAUCGGCAGGCUUGGAGAUAAACAUGAAGAAGUCCUUUACAUAGGAACGCAUAAACCAGACCGGACAACUGAGUGAGGUGAGUGAUGUGCUUAAAUAGUCUGGUGAUGGUGUGCUGAUGAGAAGCAGGUGUGUGUGAUUGUCAGAUCAGGAGCGGUGAUGAGGAAGUGUGUGCAGGUGUGGGCCAGGGAGGAUGAUGGGAAAUGGAGUCUUUGGAAGCCAAGACAGACUCUCAAUGAGUAGGUACUUAAUUUCAAUAAGUACUUACUUAACGAGCGCUAAAAGAGUAGGUACUUAAUAGCCAAAUCUCGUUAAGUAUGAAUGCGAUCCGGACGUAAUCCGCCAUGUUGACAUUAUCAUGUGACCUACGACGUAAUCACAGGUGCAACAACUUUAAAGAUAUGAGUGACAGGUUUAAUUCAUCUAUCUGUAAAUAUCUUGAUAUUGAUUAAACAUGCUUAUUUUGUGGUCUUGUUGAAGAAACAGCUGCCAGUAAUUUUGUGAUUGUACUACAACUAAUAUAUUUUGGGUUAAUUUAAAGUUCUUAUAUUUUUAAAUACUAAUGUGACCCUCAGUUUAUUUUUUGUUACGAAAACCCAAAUUCGCAUGAAUAUGUUGUUAAUUUCUUUAUUUUAUAUGCAAAAAUGUUCAUCCACAAGCAAAAUUGGCAUAAAUCUCCUUUUUUCCCUCUUUUUCUUGUUGAAUUUGCUCUAGUUUCAUCCCUCAGGCUUAUAAAUAACAAAUACUUUUUAUGCAUUAUGAUGUAUUCAAAAUAUUUAACCUCGUCAUCAUGCUUAAUCUCAAACUAUGAUGUACACAAACCCAUUUGUUUUGUUUGUCAUUAUUAUUGUUCAUUGUUAAAGACACCACCAUGGUAUUUACCCUGAUCUUGUAUGUAAUUAUAGGUCCUGCAGUAAAAGUAAAGACAUGAGUGACAGGUGCACUAACACCUCACAGCACCAGUAACUCCACAACACUACCUAGUGCGGUUUUCCUCAGUGUUUGCAAUGUCUGCACAGAGAAGACGUCGGGCAGCUGCUCGAAGAUCUCGCCUUUGAAGAAGUAUAAACUACUUAAAAAUUAAGAUUACCCCAGAAUUCACUGCUUUGCUAGCCCACCCCAACACUUAUACACAAUAUUGAUAAAUGCUGACCAAAACUUAAUUAUAUUACUUUUCGUUUUACUUCUUUAAUAAAACAAGCAAAAUGUAAAGUUUUGUCAAAUGACAUAGGUAUGCAUGAACACAAAUCCAGCUGAUGUGAAUACAUCUGAAUUCACAGUCAAGCAAUGAAUUAAUGCAUGAAUUAAUAAAAUAUAUAAAUUUACUGAUAAUAAUAGCAUAAUUAAUAAAAAAAAAAGUAAAAGAAUUAAUGAAAGUAACAAUGACAAUAAAUAAAUGCAUGUACAAGUCAACAGCACAUGAAACAAAGCUUUAUUCAAAUUUAUUGUUCUAACAAUCACGUAUUUGCGGACGGUGAUCCACACAUCCUGCUGCCAUCUCAACACAGCUGUGCCCAUUCUGCAGCUGACCACCGUGAACACCUUCACCUGCCUUUGUCAUCCAGACAGAUUAAAACAUUUUACAAUUCACAUCAGCAUUCUGUUUCUUGUCAUAUUUCCUUUCAUAUUUUUACAAUUACAGGCUAAUUUCUGUUGUAGCUUCAUUACUUUUGUGGUGUAGUGGGUUAAACCGCUGAGCUGGUCAGCAGAAGGUUUCUGGUUCGAUCUCUGCAGCGUCUCCACCAGUGUGUCCUUGAUCAAGACACUUCACUCCAGGUUACUCCAGCGGGAUCAUCCCUGUAAUAAGAGCACUAUGCUCUCGCUGGUUCUGGACUCACUGAGGAUGAAGAAAUCACAGCAACAUCCGGUCCAGAUGAGGCAGUAAGGGCAGGAGGAGUGAUGGAGGGUCUCAUCCAUGGCUCUACACCAUUCCCAGGAUCUGCUGU
Ctenopharyngodon idella (grass carp) is the source of this 2371-nucleotide long non-coding RNA. RefSeq lists it as uncharacterized. The record is from RefSeq and is a predicted model, not a curated record. NCBI's taxonomy places the organism in Eukaryota, Metazoa, Chordata, Actinopteri, Cypriniformes, Xenocyprididae. The transcript has 5 exons.